CAUGCACAAGGGCAAACCCAUCGAAAGGUGGGGACGCAAAGUUUCCGGCCUACCGAGCAAGCCUCCAAGGUCGCGGGAUUGCAACG
This 86-nucleotide non-coding RNA is filed under the name Luminiphilus syltensis NOR5-1B. RNAcentral's name for it is "gamma proteobacterium NOR51-B c-di-GMP-I riboswitch aptamer". It matches the Rfam family "c-di-GMP-I riboswitch aptamer". Rfam says of the family: GEMM was predicted in a large-scale screen for bacterial structured RNA regulatory elements. Lineage: Bacteria; Pseudomonadati; Pseudomonadota; Gammaproteobacteria; Cellvibrionales; Halieaceae. RNAcentral also lists the same sequence under 1 other name. The record is from Rfam by way of RNAcentral.